UCGCUCUAGAUUCCGGGAGAUUUUAUCUAAUUUGCGGGCGUCAGGGAGCCGCUGUUAAUAUGCGGGAGACUCCCGGAACUUCCGGGAGAUUUGGGAUGUCUGUGUUUUGCUGUGUGUGCAUGUGAGUAUGCAUGUCGAGGUAGGGAAAGAGUAAUGGCAUAUGUUGUGUGUGUGUGUGUGUGUGUGUGUGGUUGGGUGGGCUGCCCUGGUAGUUGACCCUAAGUGUCAGGUUGUACACAGUAAAAUUGACAGUGUUAUUAAGUGUUAAUUUUUCAGAGACAUAUUUUUCAGUGUUCAUUAGUGUUAAUUAGUGUAACUUCGGGAGUUGUUUGAACAAACAUGUACACCCACGGUGUAAUUAAAACUCACAACCUAGUGUUUUAAGUGGGUGUGAAUGUACGAACUCUGGGGUGGAGUCAUUUACACUUCCGGUCCUUCAGUUGAGAUUUUUGAAAAGAAGAUGGACGCCAUUGUAGUACAGCGUGGGAUAGUAAAAGGGUCAGCAAAAUGCUCAUCAAUGUCCAGUACCAUGGAGAAAAAAGUACCUCAAACUCCUGGUUUUUCUUUUCAAAGUUUAAUUCGAGAAGGCACAUCAAUCCACUGGUGCAAAAGAAGAGAACACCUCUGCCAUAGGAGAUUCAGCAGAAAAAGGCCAAACAGAUGGUCCAGGAGGUUCUGGAGAAGAGUUAAAUGGGAGAGGAAAUAAUGGAGGAGUAUAGUAGUGCACCUUGAUGCACUGUACAAGAAGGCAUCUUCUGAAUAUCCUGGUCCAUGGAAGGAUACCACUACGAAGUCAAGGAAAAAGAUAUGCACUCGGCAUUGUGACUGUUUCCUAAUCUCAGGGAUCCUUACUCCACCAAUGGCUAUGAACACUUCUACGAUGCUGGAAGAGGGACAGGCUAUCUGGCAUGGCGCCUAAAGCAACGAGUGUCGCAGCGUUUGGUCAAGAACAGCUCGGGAGCCUUGGAAUACAUGAACACCAUGAGCUUUUUAAGGAGGUAGACUUUCUAAUGAGGAGACACAGCACUCAAAAAAUCCUCCAUAGAAAUGCAUGGGGUUAGUUUGUAACAUAUGGUGUUGUCUACAUAUAUCACACCCCCCUCCGUGGCAAAACGUGGACAUGUAAAUACAUUGAGCCAAUCAUGUGGUGUGUUGUGAAGACAUUGAUUGUGCCAAUCAUGUGUUGUGAUCUUGCCGCUGGAGCAAGAUUGGUGUUGUGAAGCCUGCCGAAAGUGCCCAAAAUGCGUUGCAAUAUGGCUGCUGAGUGGAGGGACUUGCCUAAAAGGACUUUGGGUAUACCCACAUGUAACAUCACUUCAUUAUCUGUCUUGCUUAUGGAAAAUUGGCCCAUUAUUGCACAUCUCUAGUUAUAGGUUUGAAGCAAAACACAAGUUUGUGAAAUUGUAAAAAACUUGAUUAUAUUUUAUUUCUUGUUUAUGAAAUGUUUACUCAGUGUUGCAGAGCAUUUUCAUGCAUAUGUGAUUAUGGAUUGUGAGGAACAUUGUUUUAUUGUUAAAGUCAAUGAUUUGUAUGAGUAUAAGGCCUUUGCUCAACAAAAUGCUUAUGGACCAAACUUUGACAUAUAUAUUGUACCUCUGCACAUUUAUUU
Molecule: long non-coding RNA, 1609 nt
Organism: Alosa sapidissima (American shad)
Lineage: Eukaryota; Metazoa; Chordata; Actinopteri; Clupeiformes; Clupeidae
Exons: 6
Source: RefSeq, a predicted model, not a curated record